GCUAACGCCGGGCAGGGUGGCGCGGUGGUACGGAGGGGGGGAGCGUUGUUCGGAAUCAUUGGGCGGAAAGGGCGCGUAGGCGGCCGAUCAAGGCGGAGGUGAAAGCCCUCGGCUCAACGGAGGAAUUGCCUUCGAUACUGUUCGGCUUGAGUCCUGGAGAGGGUAGCGGAAUUCCCGGUGUAGCGGUGAAAUGCGUAGAGACCGGGAAGAACACCAGUGGCGAAGGCGGCUACCUGGACAGGUACUGACGCUGAAGCGCGAAAGCUAGGGGAGCAAACAGGAUUAGAUACCCCGGUAGUC
Molecule: ribosomal RNA, 300 nt
Filed under: uncultured archaeon
Lineage: Archaea
Description: bacterial SSU rRNA
Rfam family: Bacterial small subunit ribosomal RNA
Source: RNAcentral